GGAGAACACGACAUUACAAACUAGAGUAAUUGCAGUACCCUCUUUUUUUAAUAGUCGGACUGUUCCCGGCUCCACCCGCUUGCUGAGGUCCAUGUCUGUGGUGUGGAUGGGGAACAAGCCUCCCAGAAUGUAAUCCCCGGGGACAUUGAAAAGCUGAUCCACGAUCCUGCCGCUCCCCCUCCCGGAGGCCUCCAGCACACAGGCAGCGGCCAGCACACAGGACAGGACGCCCACCCCGAAACUAGACCUCAUCCUCGUCACCAACCGACACACAGAUCAGCUGAGGAGUCUGCAGGAACUGCCCGCGGGAUCACGCAAGACAAGCAAACAAAUACAAGUGAAAUAAAGCCGGCCAGCAACCCAGAGCAGUGUUAUAGUCCCAGCAGAGCGAGAGAGAGCUCUCUGAUGAAGAACGACGGUGCUGCUUGAAGAGUGUGCUUGUGCGCAGCGCAGCGUGAGACUGCACAAGAGGAGCGGAGCUGCCCGCUGCACAGGGGGAUUGUUUCCAAUGGGCUCUCGAGGGCUGCUCCCUCCCAGGUGUUUCCACUCCUUUGCCUGCCCCUCCGUGAAGGCAUUUGCCUAUCGACGCCGGCUCCGAGGAUAUGGCUAGUCAAAUGUGUGGCUGCAGUGCGGGCAGGAACCUGAGAAAACAACACAGCCUUCUAGGGAAAUGAGGGCCUUUCAUUCUGUAAUCCUUUCCUGUGAGAAGGUGUCUGCGUCCCAUCCGAUGAGAGGGGUCCCGAGCCUGGCGGUACAGAUCACUACCGGGACCCUGACCUCCAAACCCCAGCCUCCCAGUAUGUGUGAACGUCUCUGCUGUGGCGCAGGUACAGUUUCAAUCCUGCAGGUGGCAGCAGAGCUCCAGCACAGACGCACCGCAGAGCGAGAGAAGCAUCAUGGGGGAAGAGUUUCAAAACCAGGGAUGGGAAUUUUUGAGUCAAGUGGUUCACGUUUUUUCAUCCUUUAUUAUUCUGUUUUGAAACACUGAAAGAACCGUAAUAAAUUCAGUGGCAAAUGCUAGUGAAAGCACGGUGCCUGCAGGGAGCCACGGCAGCACAGAUGCCAUGUUUUAAUCAGAACUUUCCAUGGCUUUGCAUCGCCACUUAGAUUUGCAUUCUCUUCAGUGAAUACAACUAUACUGUCAUUCUUCCAAACAGUGCAUUAGAGGCAGCGUUCCCUUUCCUGCAAUGGAAACUGUCUGUGUUGUGUACUUUCCCUUUAAUUCAGUUAAGUGAUCUUCCUGGUUCCAGGUGUGAUUAUUAUAAACGUGUUUCAGUUUCAAACAGACAACUGGACAGGAUUUAUUGAUUGACACUUAACAGCAGCCAGUAACCACUCUGGGCUCUCCUCACUGAUUGGUAGAUAUGGGUCUCCAGGGCGGGUUUAGUAUCCUAGGAGAUCUCAACUGAUAUUGUUAAGAGAGUGAAUAUUUUGCGAGUGUCCAAAAUGAAUAAUAAUUUAAAUUUAAAAAUAAAAAUACACUAAUCACUGCAGCGGUAACUCAGAAACUUUGAGAAGCAGCAACACAGAUUACGUUCUUGACAGUAAAUUAUAUACAAGAACACGUUUUCAAUUUCAUGAUUAAAAUGAAACACUUUACAAUGAAAUGCACC
Long non-coding RNA from Polyodon spathula (Mississippi paddlefish), 1613 nucleotides. RefSeq lists it as uncharacterized. The record is from RefSeq and is a predicted model, not a curated record. The transcript is spliced from 4 exons. NCBI's taxonomy places the organism in Eukaryota, Metazoa, Chordata, Actinopteri, Acipenseriformes, Polyodontidae.